UCCACGCUCCCCUGCUCUGCCUCACACUGCACACACUGGAUUUGGUUGCUCAGCCAUCUCCCCAACUUCAUCCUCAUCUGUAUCCAUUCUCCCAUCCUCAUCUGUCACUAAUAUGGCUUCUAAAGGUAAACUCUCGUUGUUUUAAUGAACAACAUUUUACUUUAAAUGUCCUGAUAUAUUGUUUUUAUACUUUGGCAUUGAGGGCAUUAAGUUUGUGUAAAUAUUAUAGUAUCUUCAGUCCACAAUCUCAGCUACAUAACAGCCGUUUCAUAGCACUGUCAUCCAUAACUCUCAGACGACGCUUAGACAAGGACAACAUGCUCUGUCCUCCAUAUUCUGUUAACAGUCAGUUUGACAAAAGCAUUCUUACCUGCAAACACCUCUGCAUCCACACUUAAAAAGGUCACUAAUGACAUUCUGCAAAGGAAUAUUUCAGGCUUUUGGUGAACUGUAUUUAUUGCAGGCUAUGCUGGGUUUGAUUUUGAAUAUUGAGAAUUUUAAGCAUGUAGCAUUAUAUUUUACAAAGCCAUGCUCACUCUGAAACAAUCAGCUUCCUGACACCUGUUUUGUUGUGUAAUCAGUGAUACAGUCAGACCAUUCAAAGGAAUCACAAUAUGCUCUUUCUUGCACGCUCCCCUGCUCGGUCUCACACUGCACACACUGGAGUUGGCUUCUCAGUGAAAACCAUCUCCACAUCAGAAUUCUUACCAGACGCACAUUGGUUUUCUUAAAUGACAAUGUGACUAAGGUCAAUUCUCAAAGUAAAGUAUCAUUGUAUUACUGGUCAAUAUUUUAUAGUAAAUGUCCACGUUGUUGUUAGUCAGGUAUUGAGCGCAUUCAUUAUGAGCAAACAUUCUGGCAUCUUCAGUCCAACAUCCCAGCUACGUAAUAGCUAUUUCAUAGCACAGUCAACCAUAAUUCUCAGGGUAUACUAAGAAAAAACACUACAUCCUCUUUCUUCUACGCUUCCCCGCUCUUUUUCACACUGCACACUUUGGAUUUUGUUUCUCAGCAAUCUCCACGACUCCAUCCUCACAUGCAUCCACUCUCACCUCCUUAAUGGUCGAUGUCAGUAGUGUCACGUCUGAAGGUAAAUUUUCAUUGUAUAAUUGAAAGAAAGUUUUAGUGAUUGUCAAACAAUUUGUAUAAUUAAGGAUUCAGUGUUUCCGAUCAUCUUAUGGUGCGUAAUCUCCAUCCCAAAAUCUCCGCUCUAUAACAGUUGUUUCAGAACACUGUCAACUAUAACGUUCCGACUGUACUAAAGCAAUCACAACAUCCUCUGUCUUCCACACUCCACUGCUCUUACUCACACGCAUGCAUUGGUUUGUUGUACUUCACAGCCAAGCCCACAACAAUCCCCUUAUCUGCAUCCAAGUCUAAAUCUUCAACUAACACUGUCAAAGAUGACUCUUCUCCAGGUGAAGUUCCAGUGUAUCAUUGUACGGUAUUUAUCACCAACUGUGUGUGUUUAAUUUCAUGUGUUGAGAGUUUUCAGUAUUUUGGAUCAGAAUUUCAACUGGCAUUUUCAGGUCCAAAAAUCAGCUCCUUCACAGAUAUUUUGCAGCAAAUUUAACCGAUCAUACCUAUCGGGUUCCUUUAAAGAGUUCACAACAAACAUUGUCUUCUGCACUCCGCCGCUUUUACUCAAACUGCAUUUACUUGAUAUGUUUAUUCAGAAAUGCGAUUCCAACUUACACAAUCAUCUGAAAAGGUUAAUGAUGCCAGUUACCAAGAUAAGGUUUUGAACCAAACAUACUGAAUUUUUUUAAGGUUGCCAACUAUAAACACUGAGAAUGUGCCCAAAGUAAUCACAACAUGCUCUUUCUUGCACGCUCCCCUGCUCGGUCUCACACUGCACGCAUUGGAUGUGGGUUCUCAGCCAACUCCACACCUCCAUCCUCACAUGCAUCCACUCUCACCUCCUUAAUGGCCGAUGUCAGUAGUGUCACGUCUGAAGGUAAAUUUUCAUUGUAUAAUUGAAAGAAAGUUUUGGCCAUUGUCAAACAAUUUGUAUAAUUAGGGAUUCAGUGUUUACGAUCAUCUUAUGGUGCGUAAUCUCCAUCCAAAAAUCUCUGCUCUAUAACAGUUGUUUCAGAACACUGUCAACCAUAACGUUCCGACUGUACUAAAGCAAUCGCAACAUCCUCUGUCUUCCACA
Non-coding RNA from Paramormyrops kingsleyae, 2158 nucleotides. NCBI's taxonomy places the organism in Eukaryota, Metazoa, Chordata, Actinopteri, Osteoglossiformes, Mormyridae. The record is from RefSeq and is a predicted model, not a curated record.